This 295-nucleotide signal recognition particle RNA is filed under the name Vombatus ursinus (common wombat). RNAcentral's name for it is "Metazoan signal recognition particle RNA (ENSVURG00010005671.1)". It matches the Rfam family "Metazoan signal recognition particle RNA". From Rfam's summary of the family: The signal recognition particle (SRP) is a universally conserved ribonucleoprotein. The record is from Rfam by way of RNAcentral. Lineage: Eukaryota; Metazoa; Chordata; Mammalia; Diprotodontia; Vombatidae.
GCCUGGUGUGGUAGAACACACCUGUAGUCUUGGUUGCUGGGAAAGCUGAGGCUGGUGGAUUGAAUGAAUUUGGGAAUUCUGAACUUCAGUAGGGAUAAAGCUGACUGUAUAGCCAAACUAAGUCAAGCAUCAAUAUAGUGAGCUCUGAGGAGUGGAAGGCCUCUAGGUUGCCUAAGGAGGGGGAAACCAAUUCAGGUUUGAAAAACAGAAGAGGUUAAAGCUUCCAUGCCGGUCAGUUUUGAGAUCACGCAUGUUCAUGACUGCUGCAUUUCCAGACUGGAAGUCCCAGUCUCAA